Arachis ipaensis is the source of this 1264-nucleotide non-coding RNA. NCBI's taxonomy places the organism in Eukaryota, Viridiplantae, Streptophyta, Magnoliopsida, Fabales, Fabaceae. The record is from RefSeq and is a predicted model, not a curated record.
UCAAACAAAUAAAUGCUGUCGUUGUAUGUUUAGGGUUGAAAUAAAGAAAAAAGCAGCUCAGUCCUUCACUUUCUCCUCUUCGAACCAUGGAAGCCUUCGCACACUAAGCCCUAGCCCCUUCGCCGAACAGCUUCGUCUUCGUCUCACUCACCGUCGUCUUCGCCUGUCUUCUGAUCGCCGUCGUCGUCGUCUGCCCUUUGCUCGCACCGUCGUCUUAGUUUGGUUGCCGAAGAUUCAUCUGGUGAUUCUGCUCGCCGCCUCAGAUCGAAGGGAAUUCACUUCGAAAUGUCAAGUACCAAUAUGGAUGUAGUGGCACAAGAUGUGGCUACAGAAGAACAACAACAAGAACCUCCGAUGGAAGCAACUGCUAAUUUUGUUCCAGAUGAGUCCGCUUUAAUUGAAAAUAGCAACAAACCGAGUGUGAAGAGUGUUUAUUGGCAAUACUUUACUCGAUUUCAAGAGGAAAAAGAUUGGAAGGCAAAAUGCAACCAUUGAAAAUCUGUUCUUGGAGCCAAUCCAAGAAAUGGAACUACAAAUUUGAAGAAUCACGUGCUCCACUAUUGUAAAAAGAUCAAAUUAGCAAACUCUAGGCAAUCAACAAUUGCUGAUUCAUUAUCUAAACAUGCAAGGAGUGCUGCGGAUGCUUUUGUAUUUGAUCCAUCUUAUACAAAAAGGUGUAUUGCCAAGGCCAUAUGUAUGCAUGAGUAUCCUUUAUCUUUUGUGGAACAUGUUGGAAUGAAGGAAGUAUAUGCAUCAAUGCAACCAACUUUUAAGGUGCCUAGUCGAAACACAAUCAAGAAGGACAUUUUUGAAAUGUAUGAGUUGGAGAAGCUUAAUAUGACUAAGCUAAUGGAUGGAAAUGAUAGUCGAGUAGCAGUUACAACCGACAUGUGGACUUCCAACCAAGAAAAAUGAUACAUGGUUGAUAGUUCAUGGAUUUUGCAAAUGCGCGUAUUAAGUUUUACUUAUGUUCCCGCUCCUCAUACGAGUGAAGUGCUCUCGAAUGCAUUAAUGAAAGUUUUGUUAGAGUGAAACAUAGAUAGAAAAUUGUCAACUAUUACAUUGGAUAAUUACUCUACUAAUGAUGCUAUGGUUGAUGAGUUGUUGGGGCGCUUAGAUUCAAAAUAUUUGUUGUUGGGGGUUCCAUGUUGCAUAUGCGUUGUUGUGCUUAUAUCUUGAACCUAAUUGUGAAAGAUGGUCUAAAUUUGGUUAAGGAGAGUGUAGAAAAAAUUCAUGGCAGUGUGGUGUAUUGGACUUCAACCCC